AUGAUGAGCUCCAUCCCUAUCUGAGUUGUGAUGACUGUAGCGCGCUCUGA
RNAcentral lists this small nucleolar RNA (50 nucleotides) under Pyrococcus abyssi GE5. RNAcentral's name for it is "PABsR8". Lineage: Archaea; Methanobacteriati; Methanobacteriota; Thermococci; Thermococcales; Thermococcaceae. The record is from RNAcentral.